AGAGGUCCUUUAAGGUUCUAGAGUGAACAGCUGGAGCCUGCCGAGCUGGGAGCAGCGGCCGGGAGCGGCGGGGCCGCAGGCAGCCGAGGUGAGCAGGCCUUGCUGUCCAUCUCUGGAACGGGCUGGGAACGGAGCACGUAUUAUCACUCUCUGGGCAAAAGCUGGACCACACGGCAUCAAAGGAGGACGUACGUGCUGCAUCCUAGCCAGCAGCUAUGGCGUUCAGACAAAAGCUUCAGAGUGAAGACGAUUCCAGGGAGACGGACAGCUCAAGCAAAUGAAGGGGAGAAAGAGUUCUCAUCCAGGUAGUCUCUAGCCAGCCCUGCAUCACAUGUCCAAGUACAGACAUGAAAGGGAAAGGAAAUGAGAAGAGGCAAGGAGCUCAUCAGGCCAUAUGUCUUCAUCAAAGAGAUGACUAGAAUAUUGAAGCUAACACCUCUGGAACAGCCAGCUCUGCCUGCACAUCAAGCUGCCAGAAGAAACUGUUCUAAAGUUGCAAACACUGUUUAAUCCUGUACAAUUCCGAUAGGUAGGCCUCUCUUCAAACAAGGUUUUCAGUAGCAGCUGGGUAGGCAGAAAAUGAGAAACAUUGCAAGAGAAGGAGGAAGACAAAGUCAUUUCAUAUCACACAGUACAGCUUCUCAGUCAUUAAUAAGCAGCAGCACACAGUCUGAGGUGAAAGAGUUAGAAAUAAAAUGUAGUUUUAAAUGCAUAACAAUAGAAGCAGGAACAGAAAUCCCCCCUCUCCAACAUAAAGAGAGUGCAAGCUUGCUUUGUGCUGCCAUCACAACGAGGCAUAAGCACUUCUCUGUAAGCACUUUUUAGACUGUCAGAGGCUAUUCCUAGUAACUCAGGGAAAAGGUUUUUAUUUUUUAUUUUAUUUUUUUUUAAAUUUUAAUUGUGGACGAUAUGAGUUACAGUUAAGAAUAGUUAUCAGUGAAAAAAGUAUAUGAGUUCCUCCACUGGCAAAACGUACUUGUUGGAUGAAAGAUUUUUUUUUCUUCCCUCAAAAAUGUGUACUUGCCCCUUAAACUAAGAACUCUUCCAGAAAAAAUAAACACCACGUAUGAUAAUAGGCAUUUAUCAUUUGACUUUUGCUGAGUAAUAAAAGCAUAGUGUUCAAAAAUAAA
Molecule: long non-coding RNA, 1130 nt
Organism: Aquila chrysaetos chrysaetos
Lineage: Eukaryota; Metazoa; Chordata; Aves; Accipitriformes; Accipitridae
Exons: 4
Source: RefSeq, a predicted model, not a curated record